GCCAGAAUGGCUCAGUGGGAUUUUUGCUGACUACCAAUCACAAGACCGGGGUUCGGGUCCCCGCUUUGGUA
Molecule: non-coding RNA, 71 nt
Organism: Caenorhabditis elegans
Lineage: Eukaryota; Metazoa; Nematoda; Chromadorea; Rhabditida; Rhabditidae
Source: the annotation of a RefSeq genome assembly